GGAUAUGAAGGCUGUCUGACUGUAAUGUCUGUCACCUCAUCAAUCACAAGCAUUAAUUUACCUGAUCUGGCUGGCAAGGCAGGUGCCCUUGUCUUCGCGUCCCACUGCAUGUCUGUCCCUCCUACUGCCUUGAGCUUCAAUCAUUCCCAAGGAGAGAUGACGAGAGGUCUACUGGCCUUCACUUGACUAGACAAGUAUUUCUUCUCCACUGCUAUGACUUCCAGGCAGCACUCAAGGUCAGAUAAGUUGGCAGCAAAUUGAAAAAAAAUAUUUUCAACUCAGAUAAAUUACAUAAAACAUAUGGAAAU
Molecule: unclassified non-coding RNA, 308 nt
Organism: Erinaceus europaeus (western European hedgehog)
Lineage: Eukaryota; Metazoa; Chordata; Mammalia; Eulipotyphla; Erinaceidae
Gene: 7SK
Rfam family: 7SK RNA
About the family: 7SK was discovered as an abundant small nuclear RNA in the mid-70s but a possible function has only recently been suggested.
Source: Ensembl